Molecule: ribosomal RNA, 305 nt
Filed under: uncultured bacterium
Lineage: Bacteria
Description: bacterial SSU rRNA
Rfam family: Bacterial small subunit ribosomal RNA
Source: RNAcentral
UGGAGCCUACGGGGGGCAGCAGUGAGGAAUAUUGGUCAAUGGGCGGGAGCCUGAACCAGCCACGUCGCGUGAGGGAAGACGGUCCUAUGGAUUGUAAACCUCUUUAGGCGGGGAGCAAUGCCGGGCACGCGUGCCCGGAGGGAGAGUACCCGCAGAAUAAGCAUCGGCUAACUCCGUGCCAGCAGCCGCGGUAAUACGGAGGAUGCGAGCGUUAUCCGGAUUUAUUGGGCGUAAAGGGAACGCAGGCGGUCUUUUAAGUCUGAUGUGAAAGCCUUCGGCUUAACCGGAGUAGUGCAUUGGAAACU